ACAACACCGGUUUCCUGAAUGCCUGUGUCAGCUUUUUGGUGACAAGAAAGGAUGAAUAAGACACGAGUAUGGUUUAAAGUGCAGCGAGAGACAGAAUAGUAAAUUUACAAAGGCAGAAAUGAAAAGCAGAAAGCGAAGACGAUAUAGGAAUUUACCAGCUAGACAGAAGAGACAGGGAAAGAAACUGGCAUUGAACAUACUGAAUGUCAUCACGAAGGAGGUUUGAGAUACUGCUUUUUCCUCCCUGUGAAGUCCUGAGUCCGUGGAAAGGCCGAGGGGAGAACCAUCGGCAGCAACAUGGCAGCUCUAUUAGUGAUGGAAACUGGAUUGGGAAAUGCAAUAUCACAUCUGUCACCUAGAGGUUUUACCAACAAUAUUUCGGCCUAGAAUUCAAUGUACUGUGCCUACCCCACUCUGGCCGAGUGGGACAGUUGAAGCUUCCCGGAAAGGAAGAAGCUAUGGUUGCCCAGUGGAAAGCAGAUCACAGUGGAUACUUCCUGCAGUCAGUCAAGCUUCUGGAGAGGAGGCAGAGGCUGUUGACACAGUCUUACAGACUAGGACUCCAAGAAUCAGCCAGAUGAACGCUAUGUCCCGAGUCUUCACUUCCCAGCUCAGUGGUGGACAGCAGAGGACUGUAAGAAACACAUCAAGAACCUGUGAUGUUUAUCAAACAAGGGAAAAUCUGUCUUUGAAAGAGCAAUUAGGUUGGUUCCCUGGGGUUCCAAAAGUCAGAGAAGGGACCAAUUGA
This 748-nucleotide long non-coding RNA is filed under the name Macaca mulatta (Rhesus monkey). RNAcentral's name for it is "lncRNA (ENSMMUG00000041416.2)". Lineage: Eukaryota; Metazoa; Chordata; Mammalia; Primates; Cercopithecidae. The record is from RNAcentral.